This 389-nucleotide ribosomal RNA is filed under the name uncultured soil bacterium. RNAcentral's name for it is "bacterial SSU rRNA". It matches the Rfam family "Bacterial small subunit ribosomal RNA", at positions 975 to 1368 of the family's 1533-position model. The record is from RNAcentral.
CUACCCUUGACAUGGAUGGAAUCCCGGAGAGAUUUGGGAGUGCCCGAAAGGGAACCAUCACACAGGUGCUGCAUGGCUGUCGUCAGCUCGUGUCGUGAGAUGUUGGGUUAAGUCCCGCAACGAGCGCAACCCUUGUCAUUAGUUGCUACGAAAGGGCACUCUAAUGAGACUGCCGGUGACAAACCGGAGGAAGGUGGGGAUGACGUCAAGUCCUCAUGGCCCUUAUGGGUAGGGCUUCACACGUCAUACAAUGGUACAUACAGAGCGCCGCCAACCCGCGAGGGGGAGCUAAUCGCAGAAAGUGUAUCGUAGUCCGGAUUGUAGUCUGCAACUCGACUGCAUGAAGUUGGAAUCGCUAGUAAUCGCGGAUCAGCAUGUCGCGGUGAAUA